GUAGCGUAUAUUAAAGUUGUUGCAGUUAAAAAGCUCGUAGUUGAAUUUCGGGAUUGGCGCAUCGGUCGUGCCUCACGGGGUAUGAACUGGUGCAGUCAAUUUCUCACCUUCUGGAGAACCGCGAUGUCCUUAAUUGGAUGCCGCGGGGAACCAGGACCUUUACUUUGAAAAAAUUAGAGUGUUUAAAGCAGGCAUUUUUGCUUGAAUACAUUAGCAUGGAAUAAUAAAAUAGGACGGCAUGGUUCUAUUUUGUUGGUUUCUAGGACCACCGUAAUGAUUAAUAGGGAUAGUUGGGGGCAUUGGUAUUGAGUCGCUAGAGGUGAAAUUCUUGGAUUGACUCAAGACCAACUAUUG
This 354-nucleotide ribosomal RNA is filed under the name uncultured eukaryote. Its description in RNAcentral is "SSU rRNA". It matches the Rfam family "Eukaryotic small subunit ribosomal RNA", at positions 594 to 945 of the family's 1831-position model. The record is from RNAcentral.